UUAUCAUUACGGAUUCACGGUCUUAGCUUCUCCGUCUAGAUGUUGGAAAAGCCUAAUAUCUUCCAUCAGCCAUCAUUUCUCAUUUCUCCCAGAUCUCUUCCGUUUCCCUCUUUACUCUCUUCAAUCUCCGGUAGCCUCGGUUACCACCAACCUCCUGACGUUGCCAUUUCCUUCACUGGCUACUUCAAUUUUAUACAUUGUAGAAUAAGUAAAGGUAAACAGAAUCGAAUCGAGGUCAAGAUGGAACCACCAUUCCUGAAUUCCAGCCAAUAGAAUUGGUCAAAACCAAUUCAAUAGGUUAGAUUGACAUUAUAUACCUAAAUUACAGAUUUGAUUGGCAUCUCAGAUUUCACCAUUCUCUACCCUUGUUCAUCCCUAUCUCGGUAUCUCCUUUCCUGGUGCAUCGACACAGCCAUCCACUGGACCACUCAGUACCACCGAAUUUUUGUAGAGCAAGAGGUUGUGAAGGGUAGAAGGAAACAAGAGGGGUGGGUGGUUCCAUCUUAUCUUUUGUGUGUCUUAACUGUAGGUUGUCUCAAACAUACGUGCUUAAUUUUGUUUGUGUGAACCACGAUGGAUUAACUUAAAGCUUUGGCGAUAUCAAUGAUUCAUAUGCCUAGAAGAGCCAAUACCGUCUUCUCCUUUCUAGGAUUUUCUAAAGAUAGGAAUGGACAAAUAGAAUGAGUGGAUGGAUCAUGGUACUUGGUACGAGGCUGAAUUAGGUUUUCCUGUAACUUAUGAUUCUCCACCGGUAAAUCUUGAUACAUCGCAUCCAUCCUAGAUUCAUCUUCUCUAUCUUCCACGACCACUGAGUCUUCCAACCAUCUGUUCUAGGUAAGACCACUCCAAAAAUUGUAGAUAGUUUACAUGUUAUAAAACAUAAACAAUAUCGUUUUAUUUCAAUUAAAUGUCUUUGAGUUUGAUGUUCUUCACCCAUUUCUUUAAGAGAAUUGAAACUUGGGUUUGGUUCUAGAUUUGAUCAAAUGUACGGUUUAGUUUGAGCACGAUUUCGAUCCGACAUAAGGUAUUAUUUCGUUUUUAGUUAAAAUUCUUAAAUCGCGACUUGGUAUCACUACAUUUGCUGCUUUCGAUUUGAGUUUUUCUUAUAAAUUUUUGAUCUUUAUGAAGAAUCAGGGAGUAGAUGAAGAUUAGGGGUUAAAUACUGGAUGCAGAACAAUGAAACGAGCAAACAUCAGGUUAUUAUUGUCGAUGGCGAUUUUUGUUGUGUCAUAUUUAUACUUCGAAAUGACAAUCUGAUUGUUGUUUACUUACAUAAUGUACACAUUAUAAAGGUCCAGUGGAAAGUUAGACAAGAGGAUUUUGUUUCUAUUUCCAUCUUCAAAAUUAGAAAUGAUCUGAGCAAAGAACAUCUAAAAUCAAGCUUCACCAUUUCAUCAUUCUCACUAUUCCAUGAAUUCAUUAACUCUAUCUCCCUCACCUACAAAGAUGGCGACACCUCCAUAUAAAUUCUGUUUCUAGCCUAAAAAACUGAUUUGGUAUGGAUUUUUGUGGGUUUCAGUUUUUUGUCAAAAUUUGCAUAUGCUUGUUUUUGUAAAAUAUAGAUAUUGUUUGUAAAAUCUGGAUAUGCUAUUGUCUUUUGUUUAUAUCUUUUUUCUGCAUCUUAUACAAUUUAUUUGACAAAACUCAUAAUUACAGCAGGAAAGCACCAUUCAGAUGUCAGUCUUUAAUGAUUCAGAAGGUCUUAAUAGCUAUAAACAACAUCCACCAGUCCUCCUUAACGAUUCAUUUCAAGGUUUAGAAGAAUGUAAGGAGGGGUAAUUUGGUAAUUUUUAAUUAUGUCAAUAUUACUAACAUGGUAUACUUUCAAAUUCAGAAACUACAGCAAGUGAAACCAUGUGAGUGUUAGUCCCUUUAGAAAAAUACUCUCCUUACGGCCAACCAUGGUUUUUUUCUAAAAGGUAUUUUUAAUUAUGUUUUAGUUCUUAUUUUUAUGAAAAUGGAUUUGGAUUUGGAUUUGUCCAAGAAAGGUCAUCUCAGUGUAUUUAGGCUAUUAUGGUGUUGCAUCCUUCGGUUUCUAAAUUAUGUUUAGACAUCAUUAUAUAUUUCUUUAUAAUUUUCUGAUGAAACUAAAACUAUUAAAGAAAUACUUUCCUUUGUUUGACAUUAUUCGUUUUCAAAAUCCUUUUUACUUUGUUCAUGCAUUGGAUUCCAGUAAUAUAUCCUUGCAGGUAUGUUUUAUAUUUAUUUAUAAAUGAUACCAUUGCAAGUGUGUAUUACAUCUAAUUUUGUUUUAUUGAAUUUUUAGUCAAAUGAUGUUGUGAAGAAAAAUAAACUAUGAUGAAGUAAUUAUUUUACAUGGACGUGUUGAGGAUGUUUUAAACUGAUGAAAAGGGUUGGUCUUAUACUUUCAGAGUGGAUUUUCAUCAGAGUUUUGGUUAUAUUUUAUAUCUAAUAUAUUUUUGUAUUAUAGAGAAUGUUUGGGAGUGCUAUUGUUGCUAGAGAUUGAUGGUUAAAACCUGUUGGUCUUCUUUUCUUUAAAAUAUUUUUUUAUAUUAUUUUAUUGUUGAAAUUUACAGCUUACCUUAUUUUAGUUAUGUUUUUUUGGUUUCUUGCAACUAUACAUGUCCCCUUAAGGAUUGACGGAGACGUGUAAAGGGAUGCCAAACUCCAGCUCUCUAAAACUAUUACUGAGGAAAGACAAAUGGAACGAUCUUCACGAGAGGACACAAAACCUUGGCAUACCUAACACAGGAUGCGGUGUAUGUCAUGAACUAUACACAUCUUUUAAUUUGAUAAAAGAUCAUUGGUUUUAAAUCUAUAAGAAUAAAGAUAAUUUGUAAUAAUGCAUAUGAGAUAAUGAAAGUUUUUCAUCUCUGUAACUUAUUUGAACAACGUAAUAUGAUCAUCUAUGGGAAAGGAAACAUAAGAUACCUAAUUACCCCCUUUUUAAAAAAGGAAAAUCGUCUGGAAAAUUGAAUUUGGAUCAA
Molecule: non-coding RNA, 2948 nt
Organism: Lactuca sativa (garden lettuce)
Lineage: Eukaryota; Viridiplantae; Streptophyta; Magnoliopsida; Asterales; Asteraceae
Source: RefSeq, a predicted model, not a curated record